Molecule: RNA transcript, 688 nt
Organism: Phasianus colchicus (ring-necked pheasant)
Lineage: Eukaryota; Metazoa; Chordata; Aves; Galliformes; Phasianidae
Source: RefSeq, a predicted model, not a curated record
UGUCAGAGUAUGAUCUUCAUGCUAGCCAGAAAUCUGUGGACCAUAACAUGGGUGUCUUUACAAUCACAGCAACAAAAGAGCAGAGCCAAUGAUGUUCACGUGGAGCUGAGAGUGCUGCACAUUUCUGGGAGGACUUGAGAAGCUGCUGAAAACUCAGCGGUUCUCUGACCACAUAAAGACAAAUCAUCGUGACUUCAGAAUCUACGUCUUGUUGGUCUACAAUAUUCCAGUUCUAGUGCACGAUAAAGCAUUUCAGUCUGGCAGAAGCUCAGGACAAAAUUCAAGGGAGUCCAGCAUUGCAUGAGGAGUUUCUGCUGCUGUGUUUAUUGAAAGAGAGAGAAGGCAGAGGAAUUACUCAAAGGAAAAAUCGAACAGUGAGGAGAACAUGCUCAGAGGAGUUGGAUUACAGCUUACACGUGUAUUUGAACCCAGAGUUACACAAUUUCACGAAGAACUUGCGUGCAGAAAUGGUUUCUGAUUUUUGCUUACAACGGCUGAGAGUUUGUAAGAGAUUUGGAGGGACAUAACAUUUAUUUCCUACUUCCCUGAGCUUCAGUCCAGGCCUUGGAAAAACCCAUCUGACAGUGAGUUUGUUUGUAUAUUUCAAAUUUUUUCCUAAGUGUGCUAGGCUCAUUAGCAAGCCUUGGAAAAUGCAUGCUUUGUUGAAAUUAGUACGGAAAACAAGAUA